Molecule: ribosomal RNA, 460 nt
Filed under: uncultured bacterium
Lineage: Bacteria
Description: bacterial SSU rRNA
Rfam family: Bacterial small subunit ribosomal RNA
Source: RNAcentral
CGCUGGCGGCGUGCCUAACACAUGCAAGUCGAACGGGACUUAGUAGAAAGCGGCUUCGGCCAAUGGAAGCUAAGUUUAGUGGCGAACGGGUGAGUAACGCGUGAGGAACCUGCCUUUCAGUGGGGGACAACAGUUGGAAACGACUGCUAAUACCGCAUAUAGCCUAAGGGUGAAAGCAGCAAUGCGCUAUCAGAUGUGCCCAAACGGGAUUAGCUAGUAGGUGAGGUAAAGGCUCACCUAGGCGACGAUCUCUAGCUGGUCUGAGAGGAUGAUCAGCCACAUUGGGACUGAGACACGGCCCAGACUCCUACGGGAGGCAGCAGUAGGGAAUAUUGCACAAUGGAGGAAACUCUGAUGCAGCCAUGCCGCGUGUGUGAAGAAGGCCUUCGGGUUGUAAAGCACUUUCGGAGGGGAGGAAAAGAUGACGUUACCCUCAGAAGAAGCACCGGCUAACUCCGUG